Molecule: ribosomal RNA, 666 nt
Filed under: uncultured bacterium
Lineage: Bacteria
Description: bacterial SSU rRNA
Rfam family: Bacterial small subunit ribosomal RNA
Source: RNAcentral
GAGUGCUUGCACUCUGUGAAACAAGAUACAGGCUAGCGGCGGACGGGUGAGUAACACGUGGGUAACCUGUCCAAGAGAUCGGGAUAACACCUGGAAACAGAUGCUAAUACCGGAUAACAACAGAUGAUGCCUAUCAACUGUUUAAAAGAUGGUUCUGCUAUCACUCUUGGAUGGACCUGCGGUGCAUUAGCUAGUUGGUAGGGUAACGGCCUACCAAGGCGAUGAUGCAUAGCCGAGUUGAGAGACUGAUCGGCCACAUUGGGACUGAGACACGGCCCAAACUCCUACGGGAGGCAGCAGUAGGGAAUCUUCCACAAUGGACGCAAGUCUGAUGGAGCAACGCCGCGUGAGUGAAGAAGGGUUUCGGCUCGUAAAGCUCUGUUGUUGGUGAAGAAGGACGGGGGUAGUAACUGACCUUUGUUUGACGGUAAUCAAUUAGAAAGUCACGGCUAACUACGUGCCAGCAGCCGCGGUAAUACGUAGGUGGCAAGCGUUGUCCGGAUUUAUUGGGCGUAAAGCGAGUGCAGGCGGUUCGAUAAGUCUGAUGUGAAAGCCUUCGGCUCAACCGGAGAAUUGCAUCAAAAACUGUCGAGCUUGAGUACAGAAGAGGAGAGUGGAACUCCAUGUGUAGCGGUGAAAUGCGUAGAUAUAUGGAAGAACACCGGU